This 257-nucleotide unclassified non-coding RNA is filed under the name Hevea brasiliensis (rubber tree). Lineage: Eukaryota; Viridiplantae; Streptophyta; Magnoliopsida; Malpighiales; Euphorbiaceae. The record is from RNAcentral.
CCAUGAAUUGAAACUGAUGAUUGUUCCCAUCUUUUCUAGCAACCUUGCACUAUGUCCCCACUCAAAAGAGCUCAGAAGCAUUUGAACAUUUUUUUUCACAAGCGACAGCAUAAAGCAAAUGAGCUUAGGCCUUUGCCUUAAAACACUAGGUUCCUGCCAUGAGUCACUUUCUACCUUCAUAGCCCCUACAUUUGCCAGUAAUCAAUUAAUAGCCAGGGUAGGUGAGGAAUCGCUUUGUGUUCGUGUAGAGAAUAUCA